This is a non-coding RNA of Potamilus streckersoni, 76 nucleotides long. Lineage: Eukaryota; Metazoa; Mollusca; Bivalvia; Unionida; Unionidae. The record is from the annotation of a GenBank genome assembly.
GACACUCCGGUGGCCAAGUGGUUAUAGCGUCCGCCUCGGAUGCGGGAGGUCGCGGGUUCGAAAUCCACCCGAGUCU